UACGGAGGGGGGCUAGCGUUUGUUCGGAAUUACUGGGCGUAAAGCGCACGUAGGCGGCUGUUCAAGUCAGAGGUGAAAAGCCUGGAGCUCAACUCCAGAACUGCCUUUUGAAACUAGACAGCUAGAAAUCAUGGAGAGGUGAGUGGAAUUCCGAGUGUAGAGGUGAAAUUCGUAGAUAUUCGGAAGAACACCAGUGGCGAAGGCGGCUCACUGGACAUGUAUUGACGCUGAGGUGCGAAAGCGUGGGGAGCAAACAGG
Molecule: ribosomal RNA, 258 nt
Filed under: uncultured bacterium
Lineage: Bacteria
Description: partial 16S ribosomal RNA
Rfam family: Bacterial small subunit ribosomal RNA
Source: RNAcentral